This 466-nucleotide long non-coding RNA is filed under the name Marmota monax (woodchuck). The record is from RNAcentral. Lineage: Eukaryota; Metazoa; Chordata; Mammalia; Rodentia; Sciuridae.
CUGCCACUGUCAGAGCUCACUGUCAACAGGCACAUUGCCCCUUGGAAGCUGGGCGGAGCAGAGGUCAACCAGCAAACUCUAGCCAGCCACGUGAGCUGCCCAACCCCAUCCCAGUCCAGUGGCUGACUCAGUCCUGCCCAUGAGAACUAAGCCAAAGUCCCACUACCAGGUGGGGCGCCGAGGGAAGCUGCCCCUUGACCCCUGGGCCCUUCUUCUUCUUCCUGCCCCUUCAGAGACCAGAGCCAGGGGCACCAGCCGCUGCCCUGUAGCCUUGUAAGGGUGAGGACAAGGCUGCACAGAUGCCUAUUAUCUACAGGAAUAGAAAGCGCCCACACCUAGGAUGGGACCACGGAGCCACAGUCUCACGUGCCCACCGUGACGUCGUCUUCGAGGGCAAGACCACAGCACCCCUCCUGGUUUAGACUUUGGUAUUCUGCUGUCUUCAGUGGAGUGAGCUUGUCCCAGG